RNAcentral lists this ribosomal RNA (435 nucleotides) under uncultured bacterium. RNAcentral describes it as "partial 16S ribosomal RNA". It matches the Rfam family "Bacterial small subunit ribosomal RNA", at positions 29 to 507 of the family's 1533-position model. The record is from RNAcentral.
AGCGAACGCUGGCGGCAGGCUUAACACAUGCAAGUCGAGCGGGCAUCUUCGGAUGUCAGCGGCAGACGGGUGAGUAACACGUGGGAACGUACCCUUCGGUUCGGAACAACUCUGGGAAACUGAAGCUAAUACCGGAUACGCCCUUAUGGGGAAAGGUUUACUGCCGAAGGAUCGGCCCGCGUCUGAUUAGCUAGUUGGUGGGGUAACGGCCUACCAAGGCGACGAUCAGUAGCUGGUCUGAGAGGAUGAUCAGCCACACUGGGACUGAGACACGGCCCAGACUCCUACGGGAGGCAGCAGUGGGGAAUAUUGGACAAUGGGCGCAAGCCUGAUCCAGCCAUGCCGCGUGAGUGAUGAAGGCCUUAGGGUUGUAAAGCUCUUUUGUCCGGGACGAUAAUGACGGUACCGGAAGAAUAAGCCCCGGCUAACUUCGUG